RNAcentral lists this ribosomal RNA (274 nucleotides) under uncultured bacterium. RNAcentral's name for it is "partial 16S ribosomal RNA". It matches the Rfam family "Bacterial small subunit ribosomal RNA", at positions 523 to 796 of the family's 1533-position model. The record is from RNAcentral.
AUACGAAAGGUGCAAGCGUUGUUCGGAUUUACUGGGCGUAAAGAGGGUGUAGGUGGUUUAUUAAGUCGGAUGUGAAAUCCCGGGGCUCAACCUCGGAACUGCAUUCGAUACUGAUAGGCUAGAGUUUGGGAGGGGUAAGCGGAAUUCCGUGUGUAGCAGUGAAAUGCGUAGAUAUACGGAGGAACACCUGAGGCGAAGGCGGCUUACUGGACCAAUACUGACACUGAGACUCGAAAGCGUGGGUAGCAAACAGGAUUAGAAACCCCAGUAGUCC